AUUGAACGCUGGCGGAAUGCUUUACACAUGCAAGUCGAACGGCAGCACGGGGGCAACCCUGGUGGCGAGUGGCGAACGGGUGAGUAAUACAUCGGAACGUGCCCAGUCGUGGGGGGAUAACGUAGCGAAAGCUACGCUAAUACCGCAUACGAUCUCUGGAUGAAAGCGGGGGACCGCAAGGCCUCGCGCGAUUGGAGCGGCCGAUGGCAGAUUAGGUAGUUGGUGGGGUAAAGGCUCACCAAGCCGACGAUCUGUAGCUGGUCUGAGAGGACGACCAGCCACACUGGGACUGAGACACGGCCCAGACUCCUACGGGAGGCAGCAGUGGGGAAUUUUGGACAAUGGGCGAAAGCCUGAUCCAGCCAUUCCGCGUGCAGGAUGAAGGCCCUCGGGUUGUAAACUGCUUUUGUACGGAACGAAACGGUCCUGGUUAAUACCUGGGGCUAAUGACGGUACCGUAAGAAUAAGCACCGGCUAACUACGUGCCAGCAGCCGCGGUAAU
Molecule: ribosomal RNA, 502 nt
Filed under: uncultured bacterium
Lineage: Bacteria
Description: bacterial SSU rRNA
Rfam family: Bacterial small subunit ribosomal RNA
Source: RNAcentral